UCCGUAGGCGGGCAAUUAAGUCAGAGGUGAAAUCCCACAGCUUAACUGUGGAACUGCCUUAGAUACUGGUUAUCUUGAGUCUUAGUGAAGUAGAUAGAAUGUGUAGUGUAGCGGUGAAAUGCAUAGAUAUUACACAGAAUACCGAUUGCGAAGGCAGUCUACUAACUAACAACUGACGCUAAUGGACGAAAGCGUGGGGAGCGAACAGGAUUAGAUACCCUGGUAGUCC
Molecule: ribosomal RNA, 229 nt
Filed under: uncultured bacterium
Lineage: Bacteria
Description: partial 16S ribosomal RNA
Rfam family: Bacterial small subunit ribosomal RNA
Source: RNAcentral